CGAUUUUUGAAAUCAGCGCCUCAAAAUUGACCAAAGUCACAUAUUCUCAUAAAUUCCCUGCUCGGGUUACGAUACCCCCCCUUCUCCUCCUGGACUAUAUCGCUCACCCGAGCGAUUUUUUUUCAGUCGGACGAUAACGAUACAUUUUUUGACCAUCAGCGCGCGUAUACAAGUUUAUCGUAUCGUUAUCGUUGUGUAUGUGGUGUGUAACCAGAAUGGGGGCGAGAUUAAUUUGGAUAAUCAGUAAAUUUUGAACAUAAAGUUUAGUAAUAAUAACUGCUGGGAAAUCUGGUCACACUGACCCUGGUCAAAUAUUAACCGUGGUCAAACGACGGAUGAGAGUCAUGAAGAGACCACAGAACUGAGACUGAUGCCUUGAUGGAUUGGCAAGCAAGAGUUUGUGAGUUUCUAAAGCCCCGCGGGUAAACGAGGAUGAGAGUUGGCAGUCAUGCAUUUACGGGGACAUUUCAAGCUCUAUAGAUUAACAAAAUAAAGGUCCAUGAUAUAGUGUUGGGAAAGCAAUAAUAAGAAUAGCUAACCAAGGGCAAGGUCCCGUGACUGCCAACUCUUAUUCUCGAUUCCUUGUGCCCCGGUCAAACGUGAACAAGAGUGCAUGCGACUUGAUGACCGCGCGCAACUCUCAUCAAAAUUUGAGUGCAUGAGUUCGUCAGGGUUGGCGAUCAACACAAGCGAGAGUCGCAUCCUCGAGAAAUUGAAAAAAAACGCAUGUUUCAAUUUCGUCUGAAAUAAACUGUGAUCUGAACAUAGCUGCUAUGUUCAGAUGAGCCCAAACCACGUCGGUCUUGUCACUUUUUAUGCUUUUAUCAAUGGGCAAAUGUUCGUA
Non-coding RNA from Paramuricea clavata, 844 nucleotides. The record is from the annotation of a GenBank genome assembly. Lineage: Eukaryota; Metazoa; Cnidaria; Anthozoa; Malacalcyonacea; Plexauridae.